UGGAUUAUGAGUGAUAGAAGAGAAGGAUCUUAGCUGAUUUUUGAGACCUCUUCGCUGUUGUUGCCACUGAGCUUCAAUUGCAAACUCAUCCA
Molecule: small RNA, 92 nt
Filed under: Salix viminalis (osier)
Lineage: Eukaryota; Viridiplantae; Streptophyta; Magnoliopsida; Malpighiales; Salicaceae
Source: RNAcentral